GCUGGGUAUGGUGGCACAUGCCUGUAAUCCCAGCUACUCAGGAGGCUGAGGCAGGAGAAUCGCUUGUACCCAGGAGGUGGAGGUUGCAGUGAGCCGGGAUCGUGCCACUGCAUUCUAGCCUGGGUGACAGAGUGAGACUCCGUCUCCA
RNAcentral lists this non-coding RNA (148 nucleotides) under Nomascus leucogenys (northern white-cheeked gibbon). Lineage: Eukaryota; Metazoa; Chordata; Mammalia; Primates; Hylobatidae. The record is from Rfam by way of RNAcentral.